This 368-nucleotide ribosomal RNA is filed under the name uncultured bacterium. RNAcentral's name for it is "bacterial SSU rRNA". It matches the Rfam family "Bacterial small subunit ribosomal RNA", at positions 527 to 893 of the family's 1533-position model. The record is from RNAcentral.
GUAGGGGGCAAGCGUUGUCCGGAUUUAUUGGGCGUAAAGAGCGUGUAGGCGGCUAGGUAGGUGGGUUGUGAAAACUGGAGGCUCAACCCUCAGACGUCGACCCAAACCCCCUGGCUAGAGUCCGGAAGAGGAGAGUGGAAUUCCUGGUGUAGCGGUGAAAUGCGCAGAUAUCAGGAAGAACACCCGUGGCGAAGGCGGCUCUCUGGGACGGUACUGACGCUGAGACGCGAAAGCGUGGGGAGCGAACAGGAUUAGAUACCCUGGUAGUCCACGCCGUAAACGAUGGGUGCUAGGUGUGGGGGGUGUCGACUCCCUCCGUGCCGAAGCUAACGCAUUAAGCACCCCGCCUGGGGAGUACGGCCGCAAGG